UCCGCUCCUACGGGCUUUGCAGGUGUGGCCACCGUGUCACAUGUGCAUCAGUAGGUGGCAGAGAGGAGAGAACCUAUGUCUACGCUCAGUGUUCUGACCUGUGACGAUCUGAAUGAUUAGUGGCCUAACAAU
Grammomys surdaster is the source of this 132-nucleotide small nucleolar RNA. RefSeq annotates it as small nucleolar RNA SNORA17. NCBI's taxonomy places the organism in Eukaryota, Metazoa, Chordata, Mammalia, Rodentia, Muridae. The record is from RefSeq and is a predicted model, not a curated record. The transcript has a single exon.